UGGGUUGUGGCUCAGAGGUAGAGCACUUGUCUAGCACAUGCAAGGCCCUGGGUUCAAUCCUCAGCACCACAC
Molecule: transfer RNA, 72 nt
Filed under: Ictidomys tridecemlineatus (thirteen-lined ground squirrel)
Lineage: Eukaryota; Metazoa; Chordata; Mammalia; Rodentia; Sciuridae
Description: Spermophilus tridecemlineatus (thirteen-lined ground squirrel) tRNA
Rfam family: tRNA
About the family: Transfer RNA (tRNA) molecules are approximately 80 nucleotides in length. Their secondary structure includes four short double-helical elements and three loops (D, anti-codon, and T loops).
Source: Rfam by way of RNAcentral